Molecule: ribosomal RNA, 403 nt
Filed under: uncultured bacterium
Lineage: Bacteria
Description: bacterial SSU rRNA
Rfam family: Bacterial small subunit ribosomal RNA
Source: RNAcentral
UGAGGGAUAUUGGUCAAUGGGCGCAAGCCUGAACCAGCGACGCCGCGUGGGUGAAGAAGGUCUUCGGAUCGUAAAGCCCUUUUCCCACUGAAGAGGAAGGACGGUAGGUGGGGAAGAAGUCUCGGCUAACUACGUGCCAGCAGCCGCGGUAAAACGUAGGAGACAAGCGUUAUCCGGAGUUACUGGGCGUAAAGGGCGUGCAGGUGGCGUCUUAAGUCUGUUGUGAAAGCGCCUGGCUUAACCGGGCGAGGCCAAUGGAGACUGAGAGGCUGGAGGACGGCGGAGGGGUGCGGAAUUCCGGGUGUGGUGGUAAAAUGCGUAGAGAUCCGGAGGAACACCAGAGGCGAAGGCGGCACUCUAAGCCGUACCUGACACUGAGACGCGACAGCACGGGGAGCAAACG